CCUACGGGAGGCAGCAGUGAGGAAUAUUGGUCAAUGGACGAGAGUCUGAACCAGCCAAGUAGCGUGAAGGAUGACUGCCCUAUGGGUUGUAAACUUCUUUUAUAUGGGAAUAAAACGUUCCACGUGUGGGAUUUUGUAUGUACCAUAUGAAUAAGGAUCGGCUAACUCCGUGCCAGCAGCCGCGGUAAUACGGAGGAUCCGAGCGUUAUCCGGAUUUAUUGGGUUUAAAGGGAGCGUAGGUGGAUUGUUAAGUCAGCUGUGAAAGUUUGCGGCUCAACCGUAAAAUUGCAGUUGAAACUGGCAGUCUUGAGUACAGUAGAGGUGGGCGGAAUUCGUGGUGUAGCGGUGAAAUGCUUAGAUAUCACGAAGAACUCCGAUUGCGAAGGCAGUUCACUGGACUGCAACUGACACUGAGGCUCGAAAGUGUGGGUAUCAAACAGGAUUAGAUACCCCAGUAGUC
RNAcentral lists this ribosomal RNA (460 nucleotides) under uncultured bacterium. RNAcentral's name for it is "partial 16S ribosomal RNA". It matches the Rfam family "Bacterial small subunit ribosomal RNA", at positions 338 to 795 of the family's 1533-position model. The record is from RNAcentral.